This 415-nucleotide ribosomal RNA is filed under the name uncultured bacterium. Its description in RNAcentral is "bacterial SSU rRNA". It matches the Rfam family "Bacterial small subunit ribosomal RNA", at positions 355 to 775 of the family's 1533-position model. The record is from RNAcentral.
UGAGGAAUUUUGCGCAAUGGGGGAAACCCUGACGCAGCGACGCCGCGUGGAGGAUGAAGGCCUUCGGGUCGUAAACUCCUGUCAGAGGUGAAGAAUGCCCGCAAGGGUUUGACGGUAACCUCAGAGGAAGCCCCGGCUAACUACGUGCCAGCAGCCGCGGUAAUACGUAGGGGGCAAACGUUACUCGGAAUUACUGGGCGUAAAGGGUGCGUAGGCGGCUGGGAAGGUCAAGGAUGAAAUCCCGUGGCUCAACUGCGGAACGGUCCUUGAAACUACUCGGCUUGAGGAUAACCGAGGAGAACGGAAUUCCAGGUGGAGCGGUGAAAUGCGUAGAUAUCGGGAGGAACACCUGAGGCGAAAGCGGUUCUCUAGACUACUCCUGACGCUGUGGCACGAAAGCUAGGGGAGCAAACGG